RNAcentral lists this transfer RNA (74 nucleotides) under bacterium. RNAcentral's name for it is "tRNA-Trp". It matches the Rfam family "tRNA". From Rfam's summary of the family: Transfer RNA (tRNA) molecules are approximately 80 nucleotides in length. Their secondary structure includes four short double-helical elements and three loops (D, anti-codon, and T loops). The record is from RNAcentral.
AGGUUGUUAGUUUAGUGGUAGAAUUACGGUCUCCAACACCGAAGACAAAGGUUCGAUUCCUUUACAACCUGCCA